UGUGCUUCCCCAGCCGAUCGCAGGACAAGGAGGAGGUGGAUGUGUUGGGGGAGGCAUGGAUGUCCAUCGAGUGAAGAGGUCUGAGCCCCCCGUGGCUGACCAGGUGGAGCAGCUGCGCCAGUGACGCUCGGCUGCCUCUCU
This is a long non-coding RNA of Neopelma chrysocephalum (saffron-crested tyrant-manakin), 141 nucleotides long. RefSeq lists it as uncharacterized. The transcript has 3 exons. Lineage: Eukaryota; Metazoa; Chordata; Aves; Passeriformes; Pipridae. The record is from RefSeq and is a predicted model, not a curated record.